UACGUAGGUGGCGAGCGUUGUCCGGAUUUACUGGGCGUAAAGGGCGUCUAGGCGGCCUGAUAAGCGGAGUGUGAAAUCUCUGGGCUUAACCCAGAAAUGCCGUUCCGAACUGUCAGGCUUGAGUGCGGGAGAGGGCAGUGGAAUUCCCGGUGUAGCGGUGAAAUGUUUAGAUAUCGGGAGGAACACCAGUGGCGAAGGCGGCUGCCUGGACCGUUACUGACGCUGAAGCGCGAAAGCUAGGGGAGCGAACGGG
RNAcentral lists this ribosomal RNA (253 nucleotides) under uncultured bacterium. RNAcentral describes it as "partial 16S ribosomal RNA". It matches the Rfam family "Bacterial small subunit ribosomal RNA", at positions 524 to 776 of the family's 1533-position model. The record is from RNAcentral.